CAAUCCCCUCAUCAAUGGCGGGUCUCUCUGUUUGCUUACUUUCUUCGUCUCUCUCCCUCGAACUUAGAGAUUCACUGAUCUCUCUCUCAUGGAUGACAAUGGAACCAUUUGAUUUUCAAAGACGGAAGGAAGAAAGAAGAUGAACCUUCUUCCCUAAUCCCAAAACAUUCCCCUCUUGACACGAACGGUUAUUUUUCCCUUUUCUUUUCUACAAUCUCUAUCAGAUCUUUUCCUUCUAAUCCACCAUUUUCUCACGGAUUUUGCUUUAACAUCACUUUCUGUUCGUAUACCGGACGUGUAUCGUCUUUUCGCUAUUCACGCGUUUGAUUUCUUCUUUGCUUUUAAAUUCAGCAUUGUUUCUUCUGCGAUAGAUAGAAAUUUUGGAUGUAGUUCUGGUUUCAAAUUUGAGGACAGUACAAGAUUGUUAUUUCUCUUUGAAGAUUCUGCUACUUUCUUGACUUGGUUGGACUGAAGUAUAACUGUUUCCUUUAUUUUUUGUGGUUAUUUAUGGUUUCUUCUUGAAUUUCUGUAUUCGUGAGUGGCUUCGGUGGUUUAUAUUCUCGCAAGAGCCUUGUUCAAGUAAAUUUGGAGUUGUUUUGAGAUUUUGAAUUGGUGACGAAUUUGUUACGCAAUUUCUAACGGUUCUCAAGUGUUAAAAAUUCCUCAGAAAUCAUGUAGGAGAUGCAUAUUCUGUUCUUCGAGUAAAGGUGUUUUGUCAAAUUGCGAGUCUUCAAACAGAAUCACUUCAACACAAUGAAAAAUUUGAUUAGUUCUGUAGUCAUUGUUAGCGGUGAAAAACUUAAUUGGAAGCUGAUUAGGCUGUGGAUUACAGUCAACUUAAUCUUCAUCGGUAUGCUGGUGUCUGCCAUGUACAGGUGCGUUCUGUGUCAAAGAUUCUCAGUAACUCUUUUGUUUUGCUUUUUGGUACUCAUGACUGAAGUUUGGGGUUCUUGGUUUCAGUUCGAAAUAUAUAAAUAUUGCAAUGGAAUUUUGAAAAAUGUGACAAACAUAAUGACUGCUUCCAUGUGGUGUUGCUAAAUAAUUUAUUAUCUGUGCCGUUUGGUGGAGUAUUGAUUUUCUAAUUUGGUGAAUGGGCUUAUGUAGUGAAUGCGUUAGUAGAUUCUUGUUCCUUUUU
Long non-coding RNA from Cucurbita maxima (winter squash), 1135 nucleotides. RefSeq lists it as uncharacterized. The record is from RefSeq and is a predicted model, not a curated record. The transcript has 2 exons. NCBI's taxonomy places the organism in Eukaryota, Viridiplantae, Streptophyta, Magnoliopsida, Cucurbitales, Cucurbitaceae.